GUCCCUGUCGUCUAGUUCGGUCAAGGACUCCAGCCUUUCAAGCUGGAAACUCGGGUUCAAAUCCCGGCGGGGACA
RNAcentral lists this transfer RNA (75 nucleotides) under archaeon CG06_land_8_20_14_3_00_37_11. Its description in RNAcentral is "tRNA-Glu". It matches the Rfam family "tRNA". Rfam says of the family: Transfer RNA (tRNA) molecules are approximately 80 nucleotides in length. Their secondary structure includes four short double-helical elements and three loops (D, anti-codon, and T loops). RNAcentral also lists the same sequence under 1 other name. The record is from RNAcentral.